Molecule: ribosomal RNA, 205 nt
Filed under: Acinetobacter baumannii
Lineage: Bacteria; Pseudomonadati; Pseudomonadota; Gammaproteobacteria; Moraxellales; Moraxellaceae
Description: partial 16S ribosomal RNA
Rfam family: Bacterial small subunit ribosomal RNA
Source: RNAcentral
UUUAACUGAAGAGUUUGAUCAUGGCUCAGAUUGAACGCUGGCGGCAGGCUUAACACAUGCAAGUCGAGCGGGGGAAGGUAGCUUGCUACUGGACCUAGCGGCGGACGGGUGAGUAAUGCUUAGGAAUCUGCCUAUUAGUGGGGGACAACAUCUCGAAAGGGAUGCUAAUACCGCAUACGUCCUACGGGAGAAAGCAGGGGAUCUU